GGGUUGUGAGGUUAAGCGACUAAGCGUACACGGUGGAUGCCCUGGCAGUCAGAGGCGAUGAAGGACGUGCUAAUCUGCGAUAAGCGUCGGUGAGGUGAUAUGAACCGUUAUAACCGGCGAUUUCCGAAUGGGGAAACCCAGUGUGUUUCGACACACUAUCAUUAACUGAAUCCAUAGGUUAAUGAGGCGAACCGGGGGAACUGAAACAUCUAAGUACCCCGAGGAAAAGAAAUCAACCGAGAUUCCCCCAGUAGCGGCGAGCGAACGGGGAGGAGCCCAGAGCCUGAAUCAGUGUGUGUGUUAGUGGAAGCGUCUGGAAAGGCGUGCGAUACAGGGUGACAGCCCCGUACACAAAAAUGCACAUAUUGUGAGCUCGAUGAGUAGGGCGGGACACGUGGUAUCCUGUCUGAAUAUGGGGGGACCAUCCUCCAAGGCUAAAUACUCCUGACUGACCGAUAGUGAACCAGUACCGUGAGGGAAAGGCGAAAAGAACCCCGGCGAGGGGAGUGAAAAAGAACCUGAAACCGUGUACGUACAAGCAGUGG
Molecule: ribosomal RNA, 545 nt
Filed under: Escherichia coli
Lineage: Bacteria; Pseudomonadati; Pseudomonadota; Gammaproteobacteria; Enterobacterales; Enterobacteriaceae
Description: partial 23S ribosomal RNA
Rfam family: Bacterial large subunit ribosomal RNA
Source: RNAcentral